GAAAAGUAGGCUGCUCACGCAGGGCCGUGCCUCUGUUUCAUCAUCAGCUCUAGCCGGCUCCGUUUCUCCAGCUCACACACUCCUCCUCCUCCUCCUUGCCCAGAUUGCUCUGGUCGUUCGCGAGGGGGAGAUUGGAUUCUGAAAAAAGGCUGCUGCUGCUGCUUGCAUUCCUGCUACAAGGGCCUCCCCUUCAGACGGCCUUUGCCAGAGCAGAACUUUUUAAAAUGCUACAAAUAGGAUCUUCUUUUGAUUUUUCCUGACUUAUUUAACCCUCCUCGUUUAAUUUUUAAAAGCUGGACUAAUUUUUCUUCUUUUCUAUGCUUUGCCUGGCUGUACCGUACCUGGUUAAACCUCGAAGUAUUUUCCCCUGCUGAUUCUUCUUUUUAAAAAAUUUUUCCCUUCCUCGGUCAAAGAAAUUGAUUUCUGUGACUGAGCCAUGAAUCAGGCUUUUCUCGUUUGAAUGCUAUGAGAGUGAAGGGUUUUAUUUGUGAUUUUUUUUCCCUCCAUUACCAAUGCACUGUGCUGCUCAUGGAACCAACUUCUUUCCACAUAUUUUUUGAAUUGCUUUAGGUCUCUGCGCCACACGAAAAAAGGGUGGAUGAUGGCCCUCCAACCCCCUUGUAAUCUGACCAUGGCUGAAAUGGAAAUACGGUGAAGCCUCCUAUUGUUGUUGCCGGGAGCUGGCAGGCCAGGGUGGUUGUGGCAGGGGAAGCAUGUGGAGGAGAAGCUGGAGCCCGUUGCUAGGAGGCUGCAGCGCUGCAAGGUGAACACCUUGGCAUCCUCACUCUGUGGCUGGUCCCAGAGGCUUGUUUCCCAGGUACUGCCUCAGAUUGCAUGCAAAAAAAGAUGUACCAGUUGCCUGGCAAGGUGAACUAAAGAAACACGAAGAAAAGUCUUCUGAGAGAAUACAAAGAAGUUUUCAGAAAGUGUGACAUACUGGAAAUCUCUGUUCAUCCAUCUAUGGGAGACUUGCUAAAGAAGUCAAAAAAGAAAAGAUGAUCUGAUGACCUGUGCAGAGAAAAUGCUAAGGGGGAAAUGGAGAAAAUAAAAAUUUUGGUGGGUUUGCUAUGGCUGACAUCUCAUUCCAGACCUAAGAGCUGUCCAGUUAAGUUGGCACAAAGUUUGGUGCUACUCAUUGCUGCUCAGUGGGCAUGUCUACAUGUGCAUUUACGCAUGCCUAAACUUAAUGUGCCUUUGCUUAAGGCACAUUA
Gavialis gangeticus (Gharial) is the source of this 1211-nucleotide long non-coding RNA. RefSeq lists it as uncharacterized. Lineage: Eukaryota; Metazoa; Chordata; Crocodylia; Gavialidae. The transcript is spliced from 6 exons. The record is from RefSeq and is a predicted model, not a curated record.